AGCGAACGUUAGCGGCGGGCCUAACACAUGCAAGUCGAACGCGAAAGGUCUUCGGACUGAGUAGAGUGGCGCACGGGUGAGUAACACGUAGGUAAUCUACCCUUUGGCGGGGGAUAACGUUCCGAAAGGAGCGCUAAUACCGCAUAAGACCACGGAGUCUCCGGACGCUGUGGGAAAAGGUGGCCUCUUCUUGAAAGCUACCACCGAAGGAUGAGCCUGCGUCUCAUCAGCUAGUUGGUAAGGUAAUGGCUUACCAAGGCGAAGACGGGUAGCUGGUUUGAGAGAAUGAUCAGCCACACUGGCACUGGAACACGGGCCAGACUCCUACGGGAGGCAGCAGUGAGGAAUAUUGGGCAAUGGGCGAAAGCCUGACCCAGCCACGCCGCGUGAGUGAUGAAGGCCCUCGGGUCGUAAAGCUCUGUGGAGAGGGACGAAAACCCUGGUUUCAAAUAGGCUCCAGGCUUGACGGUACCUCUUUAGCAAGCACCGGCUAACUCUGUGCCAG
This 505-nucleotide ribosomal RNA is filed under the name uncultured bacterium. RNAcentral describes it as "bacterial SSU rRNA". It matches the Rfam family "Bacterial small subunit ribosomal RNA", at positions 29 to 511 of the family's 1533-position model. The record is from RNAcentral.